Molecule: long non-coding RNA, 1291 nt
Organism: Pipra filicauda (Wire-tailed manakin)
Lineage: Eukaryota; Metazoa; Chordata; Aves; Passeriformes; Pipridae
Exons: 2
Source: RefSeq, a predicted model, not a curated record
CAGUUAGACUUGAUGAUCUCAAAGCUCUUUUCCACCCUAAAUGAUUCUGUGAUUCUUUAUUAUUGUACAGGUUUUCCAGUCGAUAGAAUCAGUGUUCACAGGCAGGAUUUGCUGUAUUUAACUCAGGUGCCUUUUACUCAGUCUUAAAUGAGUAAUUUAAUUUCAUUCUCAUGAAAGCUGGAUGCUCUUUGCACAGAUUAAAGGAUAAAGAAACGCUUUUCCCUGCAUUUCAGCCCACAUAUAUAUGUGAGUGGAUGCUUAUCACAGACAGAAGGUAUCAGCCACCAGUUUAUACUGGGAGACAGCUUGGUAUAAAUAACAAAUCCUCUAAUUAAAAGCCAACAGAUCCUAAUUGACUUAUUUUAGUCCUUAAACUGGGAUCAGCCUUUCUCUCUUGCUACGGCAUGGAGCAUCCUUUGUUUAACAAACACUAAGGGGGAACAGAGUGAGGGAGGAAAAAACAGCCCUUCUGAGAGGCUGCAGCCGUGUGCAAGUGUUUGAAGUUGUUAUUUUAGGAGCUUAUUUUAGUGACUUUUGAGCUGAGCAUUGAGAAUAUAUAGAGCAGCAUUUAGGGAAAAUGCUAAUGUGGUGGUGGCUUCCUUUACCAUGAACUGCAGCUCUGCCAGCAAAGCUGAAAUGUGCCAUUUAAGGAACACCGAAGCUUUGAGGGAAGUUUGAACUCAGCUGGAUUUAGAAACUUGCUGGAGUGCACCGGAUGCUGGGGGAAACCAGAACACACUUUCUGGAUUGUCAGACCAAAGGCAGGAAGGUUCCCACAAAGCCCUCCUCCUUGUGGAGCUUCUGUUUCUUAUUUAGAUUUUGUUUUUUAAUACCCAAAAAGCUUUUAGUGGUAUUCUGACAAUGGGGGCCUGGAAAUUGGGCUAAAUUAAAACAGGUUUUGUUUGUUUACUUAGAAGUGCUAACAGACUCAGACAGUCCCACUGCAUUUUCAGGGCUUACAUCAUUCUAAAAUAGAUUUAAUAGAUUCAAAACAAAUUUGAUAAUGAAGUAACUUCCACUUGGUGUGUUUGCAUCUAUUCCAAAGGAAAAGCUCAGCCUUGUGAGGUGUGCUGAACUGCAUUUGAUAUGAAAUAGUAAGAAGUUUAUUUUAGUUGCAGGAAAAUAUAAGAGAACGUGAGGAAUUAAAUGAACCAGUUGGAAGAUGGGAGAUCAAAUGCAAGAGAAGUUGGGAGCCUGAUCCUCAGGCCAGAGUCUGUCCUGAAUUGCACUGCUACAAGCUGAAGAGAACAGAAUUCCAUUCUAAGAAUGCAGGUAACUGGUGAUACCCAAA